GGGACAUGACUGUGCUCUGAUAAAAGAGGCUCUUAGACCUGCCUUAACCUUUCUCCCACGGGAGAACACGGUUUUUAGAUCAAAAAGAAUUGUACUCAAGGAAUUGAAGCUAUGGAGCCUCUGCCACAUCUGGACCUGAUUUUGAUGACAAGAUCCUGUACCUCAAGCCCGAGACUAAUUUCAUAAUUUGAUGAAUCUUUUUGGAGAGUCAUGGGAGGAAUGUAAACAAUUUGUGGCCAAAGGAGAAUUAUGGUAGUUUGAAGAUGUGGAUACAAAUUAUUUGACAUUCUUCUCAUAGAAAGGUGAUGCUUAUGUCUCCACCCCUUGUAAACAAGCUGGCUUGUGACUUUGACCUAUAGUGUAUGGUGGGAGUGAUGCUGUGGAACUGGAAUUACUAGCAUCAGGAAACCUACUUGCUACAGACCCAACAACGUGCAAUGAUCAGAUCCCAAUUUAGACUGUAAAAAGACCAAUAUCAGAGACUAAGAACUGAGAUCAAACAUACCUUCUUCCUGUACCAAACAGUUCUGGGGCCAAAUAUUGUCUACUGUCUCUAUGCUAACUAGUACUGAAACCAGGCAAAAUUAACUACUUAGCCGCUUGUUCCAGGAAAUACCUGCUCUCGGAAGAAAUAAGUUAACCCACCUGUAUUAGUCUGUUUUCUGCUGCCAUAACAGAACAUUACAGACUAGAUAAUUACUUUGAAAAGUUUAUUUGACCCACAGUUCUGGAAGCUAGGAAAUCCAAGAGGAUGGCACUGGUGUCUGGUGAGGGUCAUGUUAUAGUGGAGGAGUGGAGGAUGGAAGCAAACACAUGAGACAGAGAGAGAAAUCAGGCCAGACUUACUUCUCUAACAAACCCCAUCUCAAUAACUAACUCAUUCCUAUGAUAAUAGCAUUAAUUAUCUCAUGAAAGCCCUCAUAACCUAAUUACCUCUUAAAGACCCCACAUCAAUAAAAUAUCAACAUGA
Long non-coding RNA from Homo sapiens (human), 970 nucleotides. Ensembl annotates it as long intergenic non-protein coding RNA 2607. The record is from Ensembl. NCBI's taxonomy places the organism in Eukaryota, Metazoa, Chordata, Mammalia, Primates, Hominidae.